UGCACUUUGGGACUCUGGCUUUUAGC
Molecule: non-coding RNA, 26 nt
Filed under: Rattus norvegicus (Norway rat)
Lineage: Eukaryota; Metazoa; Chordata; Mammalia; Rodentia; Muridae
Source: RNAcentral